UACGAAGGGGCUAGCGUUGCUCGGAAUUACUGGGCGUAAGGGCGCGUAGGCGGAUCGUUAAGUCAGAAGGUGAAGCCCAGGCUCAACCCUGGAAUUGCCUUUGAUACUGGCGAUCUUGAGUACGGGAGAGGUGUGUGGAACUCCGAGUGUAGAGGUGAAAUUCGUAGAUAUUCGGAAGAACACCAGUGGCGAAGGCGACACACUGGACCCGUUACUGACGCUGAGGCGCGAAAGCGUGGGGAGCAAACAGG
This 251-nucleotide ribosomal RNA is filed under the name uncultured bacterium. Its description in RNAcentral is "partial 16S ribosomal RNA". It matches the Rfam family "Bacterial small subunit ribosomal RNA", at positions 524 to 776 of the family's 1533-position model. The record is from RNAcentral.